This 253-nucleotide ribosomal RNA is filed under the name uncultured bacterium. Its description in RNAcentral is "partial small subunit ribosomal RNA". It matches the Rfam family "Bacterial small subunit ribosomal RNA", at positions 27 to 286 of the family's 1533-position model. The record is from RNAcentral.
GGGACGAACGCUGGCGGCGUGCUUAACACAUGCAAGUCGAGCGGAAAGGCCCUUCGGGGUACUCGAGCGGCGAACGGGUGAGUAACACGUGAGCAACCUGCCCCUGGCUCUGGGAUAGCCUCCGGAAACGGGGAUUAAUACCGGACAUGACCUGCUGCCGCAUGGUGGCGGGUGGAAAGUUUUUCGGCCAGGGUGGGCUCGCGGCCUAUCAGCUUGUUGGGGGGUGACGGCCCACCAAGGCGACGACGGGUAG